GGAUUACAAGUAUGUGCCACCACACACGGCUAAUUUUUGUAUUUUUAAUAGAGACGAAGUUUCACCAUGUUGGCCAGGCUGGUCUCAAACCCCUGACCUCAAGUGAUCUGCCCACCUCAGCCUCCCAAAGUGCUGGGAUUAGAGGAGUGAGCCACCAUGUGCGGCCAGUUUAUAUAACUUUUAUUUUAUUUUAUUUUAUUUAUUUAUUUAUUUUGAGACGGAGUCUCACUUUUGUUGCCCAGGCUGGAGUGCAAUGGUGAGAUCUCGGUUCACUGCAACUUUCACCUCCCUGGUUCAAGCGAUUCUUCUGCCCCAGCCUCCCAAGUAGCUAGGAUUACAGGCACACACCACCACCCCCAGCUAAUUUUUGUAUUUUUAGUAGAGACGGGGUUUCACCAUGUUGACCAGGCUGGUCUUGAACUUCUGACCUCAGGUGAUCCACCCGCUUCGGCCUCCCAAAGUGCUGGGAUUGUAAGCAUGACCCACUGUGCCUGGCCAACUUUUUAUUUUUAUUAUUUAUUUGGAGACAAGAGUCUCGCUCUGUCGCCCAGUCUGUAGUGCAGUGGCAGGAUUUUGGCUCACUGCAACCUCCACCUCCUGGGUUCAAGAGAUUCUCCUGCCUCAGCCUCCCGAGUAGCUGAGAUUACAGGCGCAUGCCACCACACCCAGCUAAUUUUUGUAUAUUUAGUAGAGACCGGGUUUCAUUAUGUUGGCCAGGCUGGUCUCAAACUCCUGACCUCAGGUGAUCCACCUGCCUCGGCCUCCCAAAGUGCUGGGAUUACAGACGUGAGGCACCGCACCUGGCCUAUAUAACUUUUUUAAAAAGUUGUUGUGUUAUGUAUGGGGGGCUGUAUUGAAGGUUUUUAAGCAGAGGAAUGACAUGAUCUGAUUUUCAUUUUAGAAGAAUCAUUCUGGCUGCUAUGCUUCAAAUAGACUGCAGGGAGCAAAGAUAGAAGAAAAGAUAAAAGCAGGGAGUCUAUUUCAGUAAUCCAGGAGAGAGAUAAUAGUGGCUUGCAGCAGGAGACAGCAGUGGUGGGAGUGAAUGGUGGUCAGAUUCUGGAUAUAUUUUUGCAGGAAGACAGAUUGCACGUGGGGUAUGAGAGAAAGAAAGGAGUUCAGAUUAACUCCAAGUUUUUUAGAUUUGAACAAUGAAGGAUGAUGUUGACAUCAAGUGACAGGGAAAAGGCUAAAGAUGGAGCAGGUUUGGAAAGAGAAAAGAACAAGAGGUCAGUUUGGAGAUAAUAAGUUUGAGAUAUCAAUUAAGUAUCCACAUGGAGAUGUCCAGAAGGCUGUUGAAUAGAUGAGUCUGGAGUUCUGGAGUGAACAGGCAGGCAUUAGAAAUAUAAAUUUGGAAAUUAUUAGCAUAUGGAUGGUUUGUAAAGCCAGGAGACUGAGUGAGAUUACAAAGGGAGAUACAGACAAAGAGAAGAGAACCAAGACUCAGAAGAAGGAGCAUUUCAACAUGAAGAGCACUUACCAUGCACCAGUAACUAUCUUCAAAUGGAAAGGUUAAAAGAAGAACGGUCAAGAGUGAAACUAAAGCCAAGGCAGAGCCAGAAGAACACAGUUAAAAUGAGUAACACAACAGGGGCUAGAAAGUCUAUCCCUCCCUUGGGCCCUAGAAGAGAGAACUGGAUAUG
This 1640-nucleotide long non-coding RNA is filed under the name Homo sapiens (human). RNAcentral describes it as "HSALNT0079115". Lineage: Eukaryota; Metazoa; Chordata; Mammalia; Primates; Hominidae. The record is from RNAcentral.